This 495-nucleotide ribosomal RNA is filed under the name uncultured bacterium. Its description in RNAcentral is "partial 16S ribosomal RNA". It matches the Rfam family "Bacterial small subunit ribosomal RNA", at positions 28 to 507 of the family's 1533-position model. The record is from RNAcentral.
GACGAACGCUGGUGGCGUGCCUAAUACAUGCAAGUAGAACGCUGAAGGAGGAGCUUGCUCUUCUGGAUGAGUUGCGAACGGGUGAGUAACGCGUAGGUAACCUGCCUGGUAGCGGGGGAUAACUAUUGGAAACGAUAGCUAAUACCGCAUAAGAGUAGAUGUUGCAUGACAUUUGCUUAAAAGGUGCAAUUGCAUCACUACCAGAUGGACCUGCGUUGUAUUAGCUAGUUGGUGGGGUAACGGCUCACCAAGGCGACGAUACAUAGCCGACCUGAGAGGGUGAUCGGCCACACUGGGACUGAGACACGGCCCAGACUCCUACGGGAGGCAGCAGUAGGGAAUCUUCGGCAAUGGACGGAAGUCUGACCGAGCAACGCCGCGUGUGUGAAGAAGGUUUUCGGAUCGUAAAGCUCUGUUGUAAGAGAAGAACGAGUGUGAGAGUGGAAAGUUCACACUGUGACGGUAUCUUACCAGAAAGGGACGGCUAACUACGUG